GCAGAGUGCCAAGAGGAUGACUCACAAGGCAAAAGCAGGAUGCGACCUUUCGACCUGGCGUUUUAUAUGUUGGAAUGCCUCUGGGUUGUGGUUGUUGGUCGCGGUGUUGUCUUUCUUUGUUUUUCGUUUUGUUUCGUUUUUCUUCUUUUUUUAAAAGACGGAGUCUCGCCCUCUCGCCCAGGCUGGAGUUCAAUGGCCGGAUCUCGGCUCACCGCAACCUCCACCCCUCGGGUUCCGGUAAUUCUCCUGCCCCAGCCUCCCAAGUCGCUGCGGUUACAGGCGUCUGCCACCACGCCCGGCUAAUUUUUUUUUAACUUUUGUAUGUGACCUCCGCAAGGGUGCCUGUCGCUCAGCUCUCUGUGGCUUCCUAAGUCGUGGUGACCUGAUGACGUUCACCGUUUUCUUCCCCGAGCUCGGCGGGGAAACAGAAACUCCCAGGGAUCCGUGGAAAAGCAGCAGCGUGUCGCUGCCCUUUCUAUCCAGGUUGCCGAGACUCCCCGUGUGGCAGGAAACAGGAAUGCCUCGUCAGGCCGUCUCUGCCCGGGAGAGUUUCUGUCUCCGUGCCUUCGCUCUCGUUUUCUAGAGGAACACGAACCGGAUCCACGCAGCUGCGUGUGUGAGAGUGUCGCGGCCACGGCGACACCCACAGACGUGGACGCCUUGACGGAGAGGGGGGGCUUGGAAAACUCAGGCCUGUCACGGGGGUUCGCUUCUGCACGCCACCCUCCCUGGUGACGUGUUCGAGCCCGGAGAGAGGCUUCCAGUUUCCGUAGAAUUCCUGGAGAACCCCAGAGGUCCAGCCCCCGAAGCCCCGCGUGUCCCUCCCCCGCCGCUCAGGCCCCACCCCCGACCACCCCACAGGGCCCUGGUGUCCCUGUGGUUUCCGGCUUGAGAGGGCGGGCUACCCCGCCCUGGGUCCCCGGAGCUCAUGCAAAUUCAGGAAGGGGUGGGGCCGCUAGGUCUCUAUAAAAGCGGCCCCUGGCUGGCGGGGCCGGACUCCUGGCUUGACCUGCCUGCAGGUGCGGUGCACAGCAGAGGUUGGCUGAGGCGCGCGGGAGCCGCCGGGCCUCUGUGUGCCUGUGUCUGUCUGUGACACUCGGCCCGGUCUCCCCGCGAUGGCUCUCCCCACAGCUCCCGGCAGCCCUCUCCCGGCGGAGGCCCGAGGGCGAGGAAGGCGAAAGAGGCUCGUUUGGACUCCGAGCCAGAGGGACGCCCUGCGAGCGUCCUUUGAGCGGAACCCGUACCCGGGCAUGGCCACCAGAGAACAGCUGGCCCAGGCCAUCGGCGUUCCGGAGCCCAGGGUCCAGAUUUGGUUUCAGAACGAGAGAUCGCGCCGGCUGAGGCAGCACCGGCGGGAAUCCAGGCCCUGGCCUGGGCCACGCGGCCCGCCAGAAGGCCGGCGAAAGCGGACGGCCGUGACCCAGUCCCAGACCGCCGUGCUCCUCCGGGCCUUCGAGCGAGAGCGCUUUCCGGACUUCGCCACCAGGGAGGAACUGGCCAGAGAGACGGGCCUCCCGGAGUCCAGGAUUCAGAUUUGGUUUCAGAAUCGAAGGGCCAGGCAUCCAGGCCGGGCUGGCAGGGGACCCGCGGCCGCAGGCGGCCCGCGCGACACGGCCCCCGGCGGGCGCGGCUCCUCUGCUCGCUCCUGGGUCGCCUCCACCCACACCGGGGCGUGGGGGGCGGCGCUUCCCGCACCCCAAGUGCCCUGCGCGCCUGGGGCCCUCCCACAGGGGCCCGUCGUGAGCCAGGCAGCAGGGGCCGUGCCCCUGCUCCUGCACGGACAGGCCCCACAGGCAGAAGGAAUCUCGCAACCUGACCCGGCGCUCGGGGCCCUCGGGGCUUUCGGGUUCGCCGCCCUGGCUCCUUCGGGGGUGGCGCUCCCCCAGCCUCAGAGCCUUCCGGGGCCUCCGCACCCGGGCAGAUGCCACGAGGAGCGGGAGCCGCAGCACGCCGGCCUGCCGGGGACGUGCUCCGUGGGACAGCUUGGGCCCGCUCAAGCCGACUCACAGGGGCGAGGUGUGCAGGGUCCCUGGUGGGGCUGGGGCCAGGGGCCCCAGGUGGCCGGGGCGGCAGGGGAACCCCAAGCCGCGCCACCUCCACCUCCGCAGCCCGCACCCCCGGAGGCCUCCGCCUGGCAGGGGCAGAUGCCAGCCCUGCAGGCGCCUUCCCAAGCGCUCCAGGAGCCGGAGGAGCGCUCGUCUGCGCUCACCUCCAGCCUGCUGGACGAGCUCCUGUCGACCCCAGAGUUUCAGCAGCAGGCACGACCUUUCCUAGAGACGGAGCCACUGGGGGAGCUGAAGGAGGUGGAAGAGCUCGCUUCCCUGGAGCCACCCCUCAGCGAGGAAGAAUACCGGGCUCUGCUGGAGGAGCUUUAAAAGCGGCGUGUCUUGGCGUCUCGCCCUCCCGCUGACCUGUCUGGGAUCCCUGAGUGCCAGGUCCGUCCGUCCGGACCAACGGAGGGACCCCACAGCCUUAAAGCAUUUCGGGAGCUCAAUGCGAUGCGUGCCAGUCCUCGUUUCACCCACGGGGUUCACAGACGGCAUAUCCCCACGGCGAACCCUGCAACGGAGCGCGAGGCAGUCUCAUCCCCACAGGGGUCACCCUCGGGCCGAUUGAAGCGUGAUUUCCGACUUCAGCCUGUGAUCGGCUGGGUGUGCGCGUGCGCGCGUGUGCAUGGAUUUGAGGCUCCUGCGGCCUGUCUUGCCGUUUCGCUGACCUGCCUGGGAGCCCUCAGUUCUAGGUCCGUCCGGUGAGAGACAGCACACAGGGCGGGGCUGUGCUGUCAUUCUCUCCCCAGCAUCUAGGGAACCCCAGAACCCGCCCAGGGCCCGGGAGCUGGGCGGUCUAGUGCGCGUGCGCGGGUCUGCAGGCAGCCCGCGGCCGCUUCUGGGGACCAGCGCAGGCAGAGCUGUCGGCCCUCCUCGCAGCCCUGCCCCCACGCCACCCGGCCUACUUCAGGAGGGUGGGCGGAGGGAGCGUUUCGCCCCCCCCCCCCCCGAAACACCGGGCCGGGUCCCCAGGCAGGCCGGCUCUCCAUUCCGCUGCACCCCUCUUCUGCCUCCCCGAUUCGCCCACCGAUCACUCGCACACCGGUGCCCCGCCAGCUUCCCCGCCAUCACCGAGUAGCGCCUGGCAGCUCAAUAUAGACCCGAGACCACUCCUCCCACGGCCCCGCUACGAACGACCCCGCGGGCAAACGGAAGGGCUGCUUUCUCCAGGCCGGAGGGAAGGCGGGUAGAGAAGCGGGGAGGAUCCCAGGCCGCGAGGGAGGGACGAGGGAAGGGAGGGAAGGACGCAA
Molecule: non-coding RNA, 3298 nt
Organism: Callithrix jacchus (white-tufted-ear marmoset)
Lineage: Eukaryota; Metazoa; Chordata; Mammalia; Primates; Cebidae
Source: RefSeq, a predicted model, not a curated record